UUAAAACCGAUGAUGGAAACAAGGAGCUUUAGACAUCCUCAGAGAGCCGAUGGUUGGUGUAAAUCGGCGAUGAAUAAGCUGGCUUGAGCGUUCCUGAGAUAUUUCGCUGAACGAUAGAGUAGGCGUAAAUCGGAUGAUAUCCGUUACCAAUCAUGGUCUAUACAGACCGUUUGAGGCUGCUCCCGGGCAGCGAAUAAGGGUGGUACCACGAAUAACUCUCGUCCCUUAC
Molecule: non-coding RNA, 229 nt
Filed under: Paenibacillus sp.
Lineage: Bacteria; Bacillati; Bacillota; Bacilli; Caryophanales; Paenibacillaceae
Description: T-box sequence
Rfam family: T-box leader
About the family: Uncharged tRNA acts as the effector for transcription antitermination of genes in the T-box leader family. T-boxes are found upstream of many aminoacyl-tRNA synthetase genes and some amino acid biosynthetic genes usually in Gram-positive bacteria. The anticodon of a specific tRNA base pairs to a specifier sequence within the T-box motif, and the NCCA acceptor tail of the tRNA base pairs to a conserved bulge in the T-box antiterminator hairpin.
Source: RNAcentral